UUGGCGGGGGCGCCAUCUUGCAAAAGCAGGCUCAGUAGUCCAGUUCUCGCGGCGUUCGCGCGGUUUUCCAUUACCUCAGGCGGAGCCGCCUCAACCUGCGCUUACAGGCCCUGUCAACAAAUUUCAUUAUUUUAAAGGACCAGAAAUUGUGAUCCGUGUGCAGUGGAUGGACUACUUUCUAUUUUCAGUUUACUUGUGAGAAGACUGCUGUGCCGGGAGCAAGUUUCAUUUUAGUAAGGGAGAAGCAAAGAAGAAGUGAGAAAAGCAAAGAUGAAGACUGAGAAAACUUUUGGAGCUCCAGGGACCAGUGAAAAAGUUGUGCAUCCAAUUGCAUGAGCUUAUUAAAUUAGGCCAGAGGUAAAAUUAUGUGUUUUGAGUUCGUUGUUGUCUAAAACAAAGUUUUCUGAUUGUACACUGAAUAUUUUGGGGGGGGAGGAGGCUGUUAAAAUAAUGUAUGCUAUCUUUUUUUUUUUCUUUUACUAAUUGGCAGUUAGGUUAUUCAGAGAGAAUGAUGAAUGAAAUGACAGGUAUAUAGAUACCACUCAUAUUUAGUGUUUUCUCUAGCUUCCUUCUCCAUACUCUCCAUUUUCUUUAGUUAUGAUUUCAGUUUUAUAUAUAAUUUUUUUUUAAGUCUUGAUUUGUGGUGUAAAUGUCAACCUCAUACUAACAAAGACUACUUUUUCUCAGUUUUAUUUUGAGAUGUCUGUAGCCUGGAUUUUUUAUCUAUCAAGGAAGAAGAUGAAAUUUUAAGAGAAGAGUUCAUUUUUGGAUGUGUGAGUUAGUUAAAUGGCUAGUGAUAGAAGCCAGGCUGUUUCAGAUAAUCAUGGAUUCCGAAACUAUCUUUGAUACUUUUAUGGACAUGAUUAUUAUCUCCCCAAGAACUGAAUAUUUAACUGCCAACAUAAUUCUGAUCUCAUAUCAGGCGAUCAAGUACAGCUAAAAUCUACUGCUUAUUUUUUUGAUGUGUUGUGGAGUUUGGACUCUUAUUGGAGUUGGUAUUCAGGCAUUUAAUAGAUAUUUAUAGCUAGGUACGUAAAUAUUAUAUGCCAGGUACUGUGCCGGGUAUCUGGUAUGGAUCAGAAAAAUUCUCAUAUCCUCGCAGCCUGUGUUCUGGUGAGGGAGCCAGAUAAUAGACAAGUGUAUGAAUGUGUACUAUAUAAUGGGAGGUAGUGAUAAGAGCUGGCAAGAACAACCAAACAAGAUCAGUUAUUAGAGAGGAGGCAGAGUCUGUCUGAGGAGAUGACCUUUGAGUGAAGCUGAAUGAACUAGGAGGGAAUCAUUUGAGUAUUUGAGAGAGGAGUGUUCCAAAUGAGAACAGCAAAUGCUAAGUCUCUGAGUAAGGGUGAGUCAAGGAUGAGAACCGACUAGGAGGCCAUCUACAGGCAGUGAGGGGAACAGGGACCGAAAUUGGAUUCUAGAAGUAGCUGGAGGCCAGAUCCCAUCCUCAAAGAAAAGAAUCUGAUUAGAAAAAUAAAAAUAAGAGACAUUUAUGAACUAUAGCACAGUGUAUCAUCCAGGAAAAAAUUAGGUGUCAUA
Odocoileus virginianus texanus is the source of this 1536-nucleotide non-coding RNA. The record is from RefSeq and is a predicted model, not a curated record. NCBI's taxonomy places the organism in Eukaryota, Metazoa, Chordata, Mammalia, Artiodactyla, Cervidae.